UAGGGAAUCUUCGGCAAUGGACGAAAGUCUGACCGAGCAACGCCGCGUGAGUGAAGAAGGUUUUCGGAUCGUAAAACUCUGUUGUUAGAGAAGAACAAGGACGUUAGUAACUGAACGUCCCCUGACGGUAUCUAACCAGAAAGCCACGGCUAACUACGUGCCAGCAGCCGCGGUAAUACGUAGGUGGCAAGCGUUGUCCGGAGUUAUUGGGCGUAAAGCGAGCGCAGGCGGUUUCUUAAGUCUGAUGUGAAAGCCCCCGGCUCAACCGGGGAGGGUCAUUGGAAACUGGGAGACUGGAGUGCAGAAGAGGAGAGUGGAAUUCCAUGUGUAGCGGUGAAAUGCGUAGAUAUAUGGAGGAACACCAGUGGCGAAGGCGGCUCUGUGGUCUGUAACUGACGCUGAGGCUCGAAAGCGUGGGGAGCAAACAGG
Molecule: ribosomal RNA, 429 nt
Filed under: Gemmatimonadota bacterium
Lineage: Bacteria; Pseudomonadati; Gemmatimonadota
Description: Gemmatimonadetes bacterium partial 16S ribosomal RNA
Rfam family: Bacterial small subunit ribosomal RNA
Source: RNAcentral